This 26-nucleotide non-coding RNA is filed under the name Rattus norvegicus (Norway rat). The record is from RNAcentral. Lineage: Eukaryota; Metazoa; Chordata; Mammalia; Rodentia; Muridae.
GGGACAAAUGGGAAUGUCAGCAGCCA